RNAcentral lists this ribosomal RNA (1502 nucleotides) under metagenome. RNAcentral's name for it is "bacterial SSU rRNA". It matches the Rfam family "Bacterial small subunit ribosomal RNA". The record is from RNAcentral.
AGAGUUUGAUCCUGGCUCAGGACGAACGCUGGCGGCGUGCUUAAUAUAUGUAAGUUGAAUGAGAAAGCUCCCUUCGGGGAGUGAGUAGAGUGGCGCACGGGUGAGUAACGCGUAGGUAAUCUACCUUUGAGUUUGAGAUAACUCCGGGAAACUGGAGCUAAUACCGAAUGAAGCAUCAUACUUAGUGUGUGGUGUUAAAGGGGCUUUCGGGUCCCGCUUGAAGAUGAGCCUGCGACCUAUCAGCUAGUUGGUUGGGUAAUGGUUUAUUAAGGUGAAGAUGGGUAGUUGGUUUGAGAGGAUGAUCAGCCACACUGGGACUGAGAUAUGGCCCAGACUCCUACGGGAGGCAGCAGUAGGGAAUAUUGCGCAAUGGGGGAAACCCUGACGCAGCGACGCCGCGUGAGUGAUGAAGGCCGUUUAGGUUGUAAAGCUCUGUAAGGAGGGAAGAAUUAUAAGUAGUAAUGUAUUUGUUUGAUGGUACCUCCAAAGUAAGGACCGGCUAAAUACGUGCCAGCAGUUGCGGUAAUACGUAUGGUCCGAGCGUUGUCCGGAAUGACUGGGCGUAAAGGGUGUGUAGGCGGAUUCAUAAGUCAGGUGUGAAAUUCCCGAGCUUAAUUUGGGAACUGCGCUUGAAACUGUGAGUCUAGAGCAUGUCAGAGGUAAGUGGAAUUCCCGGAGUAGUGGUGAAAUGUGUAGAUAUUGGGAAGAACAUUAGUGGUGAAGGUGAUUUACUGGGACAUUGCUGACGCUGAGGCACGAAAGCGUGGGGAGCGAACGGGAUUAGAUAUCCCGGUAGUCCACGCCGUAAACGAUGUAUACUAGAUGUCAGGGUUAUUAAAAAUCUUGGUGUCGUAGUUAAUGUGUUAAGUAUACCGCCUGGGGAGUACGGUCGCAAGAUUAAAACUCAAAGGAAUUGACGGGGGCCCGCACAAGCGGUGGAGCAUGUGGUUUAAUUCGAUGCAAUGUGCAGAACUUUACCCGGAUUUGACAUCCUCCUGCCGGAACUAGAGAUAGUUUUUUCUCUUCGGAGACGGGAGUGACAGGUGCUGCAUGGCUGUCGUCAGCUCGUGUUGUGAGAUGUUGGGUUAAGUCCCGCAACGAGCGCAACCCUUGUCCUUAGUUGCCAUCAUUAAGUUGGGCACUCUAUGGAGACUGCCGAGGUUAACUCGGAGGAAGGUGGGGAUGACGUCAAGUCCUCAUGGCCCUUAUGUCCGGGGCUACACACGUGCUACAAUGGUAUAGACAGAGUGAAGCUAGAUUGUAAAGUGGAGCAAAUCACAGAAACUAUAUCCCAGUUCGGAUUGGGGUCUGCAAUUUGACCCCAUGAAGUUGGAAUCGCUAGUAAUCGCGGAUUAGUAUGCCGCGGUGAAUACGUUCCCGGGCCUUGUAUACACCGCCCGUCACACCAUGGGAGUUGUUCUCACUGGAUGAUGUUGAGUUAGUUUUUGGGAGGUAUGUAUUAAUGGUGAGGAUAGCGACUGGGGUGAAGUUGAAACAAGGUA